CAGUAGCCACGGGAAUACGUAGGUGGCAAGCGUUGUCCGGAAUUAUUGGGCGUAAAGGGCUCGCAGGCGGUUUCUUAAGUCUGAUGUGAAAGCCCCCGGCUCAACCGGGGAGGGUCAUUGGAAACUGGGAAACUUGAGUGCAGAAGAGGAGAGUGGAAUUCCACGUGUAGCGGUGAAAUGCGUAGAGAUGUGGAGGAACACCAGUGGCGAAGGCGACUCUCUGGUCUGUAACUGACGCUGAGGAGCGAAAGCGUGGGGAGCGAACAGGAUUAGAUACCCCAGUAGUCCCUGUCUCUUAUCC
This 301-nucleotide ribosomal RNA is filed under the name uncultured bacterium. RNAcentral's name for it is "partial 16S ribosomal RNA". It matches the Rfam family "Bacterial small subunit ribosomal RNA", at positions 509 to 809 of the family's 1533-position model. The record is from RNAcentral.